This 75-nucleotide transfer RNA is filed under the name Candidatus Peregrinibacteria bacterium. RNAcentral describes it as "tRNA-Gln". It matches the Rfam family "tRNA". From Rfam's summary of the family: Transfer RNA (tRNA) molecules are approximately 80 nucleotides in length. Lineage: Bacteria; Candidatus Peregrinibacteriota. The record is from RNAcentral. RNAcentral also lists the same sequence under 1 other name.
UACCUCGUCGCCAAGCGGUAAGGCAAGGGACUCUGAAUCCCUCAUUCGUAGGUUCAAAUCCUACCGAGGUAGCCA